Molecule: ribosomal RNA, 585 nt
Filed under: uncultured Gammaproteobacteria bacterium
Lineage: Bacteria; Pseudomonadati; Pseudomonadota; Gammaproteobacteria
Description: bacterial SSU rRNA
Rfam family: Bacterial small subunit ribosomal RNA
Source: RNAcentral
CCUACGGGAGGCAGCAGUGGGGAAUAUUGCACAAUGGGCGCAAGCCUGAUGCAGCCAUGCCGCGUGUGCGAAGAAGGCCUUCGGGUUGUAAAGCACUUUCAGUCAGGAGGAAAGGUUAGUAGUUAAUACCUGCUAGCUGUGACGUUACUGACAGAAGAAGCACCGGCUAACUCCGUGCCAGCAGCCGCGGUAAUACGGAGGGUGCGAGCGUUAAUCGGAAUUACUGGGCGUAAAGCGUACGCAGGCGGUUUGUCAAGCGAGAUGUGAAAGCCCCGGGCUCAACCUGGGAACUGCAUUUCGAACUGGCAAACUAGAGUGUGAUAGAGGGUGGUAGAAUUUCAGGUGUAGCGGUGAAAUGCGUAGAGAUCUGAAGGAAUACCGAUGGCGAAGGCAGCCACCUGGGUCAACACUGACGCUCAUGUACGAAAGCGUGGGGAGCAAACGGGAUUAGAUACCCCGGUAGUCCACGCCGUAAACGAUGUCUACUAGAAGCUCGGAGCCUCGGUUCUGUUUUUCAAAGCUAACGCAUUAAGUAGACCGCCUGGGGAGUACGGCCGCAAGGUUAAAACUCAAAUGAAUUGACGG